Hibiscus syriacus is the source of this 333-nucleotide long non-coding RNA. RefSeq lists it as uncharacterized. NCBI's taxonomy places the organism in Eukaryota, Viridiplantae, Streptophyta, Magnoliopsida, Malvales, Malvaceae. The transcript has 3 exons. The record is from RefSeq and is a predicted model, not a curated record.
UUUUCCAGUUCUAUUAAUUGCCAGGAUUGGCUUGUAAGAGAAUAAGGUGUGCAAUGAAGUCUUAUAAGUUAUCAGAACUUAGUCAUGCUGAGGUAGAAAGCUUGAAGGCUCGUCCUCGGAUAGAUUUUUCUUCCAUAUUCGGUGUGAUCCAACCAAUAGUUGAUGAUGUCCGUCGUAGAGGCGAUGCUGCAGUUAAAGUGUCGGUGUUGCUUACAAUCUUUUUACAUACUUCUAUUUUUUGUGUGACCAUUUCUAGUAAUGUUAAAUUUGUGGUUGUUUGUAAAUAUAUUUCUUGUGCAGUUAUAUUGAAAAGUUUGAUAAAGUUAAACUACA